Long non-coding RNA from Chelonia mydas (Green sea turtle), 661 nucleotides. RefSeq lists it as uncharacterized. The transcript has 4 exons. Lineage: Eukaryota; Metazoa; Chordata; Testudines; Cheloniidae. The record is from RefSeq and is a predicted model, not a curated record.
GGUAUUCUCAUGGCUGCCUCUUUAAUUUGCCUAGUCACUCACAGGGGGCAGUGUUUGAGCUGCAUAAGAGUGGGUGGCGAUGUUCCCACUGUCGCAAAUGGUUAAUAACAAGAAAAACAAAAGGUUCGAUCCAUCAAAUUACUCAACAAGAAGGUGGAAUGACAAUCGGUUCCCAUGCUGAGAGCAAGGAUUGUGCCCAAUACAGCAUUACAGCAAAUUGACAGGACCUUCUGUCCAACGGGGGUGGGGGAUUGAAUCCUUGCGGAAGAAGGGUUGGACUUCAGCUUACUAGGACCCCCUAGGACUGAUGGAAUGUGCUGGUAAUUUUGGUGGGGGAGUUCGGGAGAUGGAGCACAAUGUAAUUCAAGACAAAAGAGUCUAUUCUGAUUACUGCUCCAUUGUGUGGCAGAGCAAAACAUUUCAAUGUGGUUGAGACUGAAUUUGAAUCAAGGAAAUACAAGUUGCAGAUUUUUUGAAGACGGCUGGCCCAGGGGAAUUGUUCAUCUCCUUGGAAAAUUGAAAAACAAAUGAAAACUUGACGAUGCUUUGGAUCCUAGUUGUUAAAAAAAAAAUCCUUCUUUCUAUUUAAAAACAAGAGGUGUUUUUUUGGUACUGAUUUUUACGUAACUUCUACUACCAAGAAAUAAACAGCAUUGAUUUG